GAGAGUAUAUGAAAUAAACGUGAAUUUUUGAUUUUAUUCUAGUUCGUUGCAACAGUAAUUAGUGCAAGUUAACAUUAAUUAAUAGCUUACGACUUGUGCCAAUUAAUUCCUAUAACAAUAGGUGUGAGGUAGGUUACAGUUUAUUAUCUACCUUGGUUUUAUAAGUGGUGAAAUUUGGUGGUUUUAUCAUGCAUUCUAACGCGAAUCAGCCUAAAUAUCGAACGUGUGUUUUUCAACCGUUUUUAACAAGGACAGUACAAAUUAUAGAGUCGAGGAGUUUAAAUAUGUACCGUGUUUCACAAAUCAUAGCUGAUUUUGUCAAUGUGCUGCUAUUUAAAUUUCAAAAAAAUAAUUUAUGUAAGCAAUUUGUUUCAUUGGAAUCCUUUCCAUUAAAAAUUUCUUUGUAAAAUCUGAGUGCAAAAAGGUGAUGUCAUAUAAUUAUUUGUAUGGAAACAUCACAGAAAACCAUAGAUUGUCUCACAAAGCAGUCCAACGCCGGGAAAAGCAACCAUACGGCUGUCAAAGAUGGUGUCCCCCAUGCUACGAGUUAUACAAGUGGACUAGCUUCUUCGUCCUUGUGUCUUACUGCCCUUCAAUGAGAAAACAGAAGUUCCAUUUCAUAACCUAGGACAGCACGUGCUGAGCGUGAUCUGAAGGCUACCAGCCGUGAUGCGAGUGGUCUGUAGAGAUGUGCACUUUUUACACGCGUAAUAAAGCAUACAGACAACUUUUUCAUAAUACAGUUUGUGAUUUACAUCUGCCAGAUGUCGAUCAAGGAAUGUCUUACAUGCACCAAACACAUGUAAAAAUCCUAAAAGAAAGAUAUGAAUCAAGGAAAUUUUUAUUCGGUUAAAAGCUCAUUAGAGCUUAUGUUUUGU
Molecule: long non-coding RNA, 878 nt
Organism: Mizuhopecten yessoensis (Yesso scallop)
Lineage: Eukaryota; Metazoa; Mollusca; Bivalvia; Pectinida; Pectinidae
Exons: 3
Source: RefSeq, a predicted model, not a curated record